UCUUCCCUCUGGCGGCGUGCCUAAUACAUGCAAGUCGAGCGAACGGACGAGAAGCUUGCUUCUCUGAUGUUAGCGGCGGACGGGUGAGUAACACGUGGAUAACCUACCUAUAAGACUGGGAUAACUUCGGGAAACCGGAGCUAAUACCGGAUAAUAUUUUGAACCGCAUGGUUCAAAAGUGAAAGACGGUCUUGCUGUCACCUAUAGAUGGAUCCGCGCUGCAUUAGCUAGUUGGUAAGGUAACGGCUUACCAAGGCAACGAUGCAUAGCCGACCUGAGAGGGUGAUCGGCCACACUGGAACUGAGACACGGUCCAGACUCCUACGGGAGGCAGCAGUAGGGAAUCUUCCGCAAUGGGCGAAAGCCUGACGGAGCAACGCCGCGUGAGUGAUGAAGGUCUUCGGAUCGUAAAACUCUGUUAUUAGGGAAGAACAUAUGUGUAAGUAACUGUGCACAUCUUGACGGUACCUAAUCAGAAAGCCACGGCUAACUACGUG
RNAcentral lists this ribosomal RNA (497 nucleotides) under uncultured bacterium. RNAcentral describes it as "partial 16S ribosomal RNA". It matches the Rfam family "Bacterial small subunit ribosomal RNA", at positions 36 to 507 of the family's 1533-position model. The record is from RNAcentral.